GAUUUCUGGUACGGUGCGCGUGGCCCGCCAUCGAAAGGUGUGCGAGUGUCGCUUGUGCGUCUACCAUCUCUUGUAGCUAGGGUGUCUCUCUCCAGGGGCAUCUGAACUACAUCGUUUACUUUGAAGAAAUUAGAGUGUUCAAAGCGGGCUUGCGCAUGAAUAUAUUAGCAUGGAAUAAUAAUUUAGGACUUUGAUCCUAUUUUGUUGGUUUUAAGGAUUAAAGUAAUGAUUGAUAGGGAUAGUUGGGGGUGCUAGUAUUCACCGGCCAGAGGUGAAAUUCUUGGAUUCGGUGAAGACUAACUUAUGCGAAAGCAUU
RNAcentral lists this ribosomal RNA (316 nucleotides) under uncultured Paracercomonas. Its description in RNAcentral is "SSU rRNA". The stretch from base 99 to 316 matches the Rfam family "Eukaryotic small subunit ribosomal RNA", at positions 735 to 955 of the family's 1831-position model. The record is from RNAcentral. RNAcentral also lists the same sequence under 1 other name. Lineage: Eukaryota; Cercozoa; Cercomonadida; Cercomonadidae.